AGUGAACGCUGGCGGUAGGCCUAACACAUGCAAGUCGAACGGCAGCACAGUAAGAGCUUGCUCGUACGGGUGGCGAGUGGCGGACGGGUGAGGAAUACAUCGGAAUCUACUUUUUCGUGGGGGAUAACGUAGGGAAACUUACGCUAAUACCGCAUACGACCUACGGGUGAAAGCAGGGGAUCUUCGGACCUUGCGCGAUUGUAUGAGCCGAUGUCGGAUUAGCUAGUUGGCGGGGUAAAGGCCCACCAAGGCGACGAUCCGUAGCUGGUCUGAGAGGAUGAUCAGCCACACUGGAACUGAGACACGGUCCAGACUCCUACGGGAGGCAGCAGUGGGGAAUAUUGGACAAUGGGCGCAAGACUGAUCCAGCCAUACCGCGUGGGUGAAGAAGGCCUUCGGGUUGUAAAGCCCUUUUGUUGGGAAAGAAAAGCAGCAGGUUAAUACCCCGCUGUUCUGACGGUACCCAAAGAAUAAGCACCGGCUAACUUCGUG
This 492-nucleotide ribosomal RNA is filed under the name uncultured bacterium. RNAcentral describes it as "partial 16S ribosomal RNA". It matches the Rfam family "Bacterial small subunit ribosomal RNA", at positions 29 to 507 of the family's 1533-position model. The record is from RNAcentral.